RNAcentral lists this long non-coding RNA (1128 nucleotides) under Ornithorhynchus anatinus (platypus). RNAcentral's name for it is "lncRNA (ENSOANG00000037896.1)". Lineage: Eukaryota; Metazoa; Chordata; Mammalia; Monotremata; Ornithorhynchidae. The record is from RNAcentral.
GGAAGGCGUCACCUUAGGGGUGGCCCCUGCCGUGGCCGUGGGAGACUCCAUCAUUGCCCCCGUGGUCGGGGACGGAGGAGCGGAGGAUGCCGAGGAGGCGGUGCUGAGACCGGUGAUCGUGGAGGCCGGGACGGACGGCGUCCAGGUCGGGCAGUGGCUGUAGUCGUCGCAGCACUGCAAUCGCACGUGGUAGUUGAAGCAGAGUUUGAAGGGGCCCGGCUGCUGGCGGUUCCUGCAGAUCAGACCCACGUUCACGUCGCACAGCACGUUCUGCCCCACCUCCUGGAUGGACAAGCCGGGGUAAUUCUCCGCCCGGCACUCGAUAGCCACGGGGUCUUUGCAGAUCUGCCGGCCGGAGGCCCGCAUGUUAGCGAGGGUCUCGAUGUCGGCGCCGUCUGGCCCGGACUGGGGAUAGUCCGUGUCCAACCAUUCCGUCCAGCGACAGGCGGGCUGACAGGCCGUUGUCGUCAGGGUCUCGGUGACGGCAGCGGUGGUGGUGGUCUUGACCGGAGCCGUGGAGGUCGUUCCGUAUGUGGAACCGGUCCCAGAAGUCCCGGGGGUGGUUCUGGUCUUCCCCGGGCUGCUGGGCCCCGCAGCAGAGGUGAUACGCUGCUUGCCUGUAGCCGGAGAGCUCGUGGCAGUGGGCGACGCCUUCCCCGUGGACGGUGCGGUGGAGCGGACGGUUACCGUCGGCCCGCCGGACGUGGUCCGGGCGGUCGUCACCGCCGGGGUCUCAGCCGUAGUCGUCCCCGGAGGGCGGGUCGCGCAGUGGCUGUAGUCGUCGCAGCACAGGGCUCUGACGUUAUAGUUGUAGCACAGGUUGAACUUUCCCGACUGGUCUUCGUUCCAGCAGAUCAGCCCUCGGUCCAAGGAGCACUGUACGCGCUGCCCGAUCUGGUCGAUGCUCACCCCGGGGUAGUUUUCGGCCCGGCACUCCACCUGGAUGGGAGUCAGACAGAGCUUCCCCCCGGCGGCCCGGAUGCGGUCGAAGGUCUCGAAGUCCCCGCCCAUGGUCCCCGACGACGGGAAGUCCACAUCGAACCACUCCGUCCACUGGCAUCUCGGGUGGCACGGGGUGGAUCCGGCCGUAGUCGUCGUCGGGGCCCCCGCGGACGUCCCGCGAGAUGA